RNAcentral lists this ribosomal RNA (738 nucleotides) under Triticum aestivum (bread wheat). RNAcentral describes it as "partial small subunit ribosomal RNA". Lineage: Eukaryota; Viridiplantae; Streptophyta; Magnoliopsida; Poales; Poaceae. The record is from RNAcentral.
AUGUUUCAAAACAGCUUUCAAUGGUAUGUAAUCCUGUUGGAGGUUGCUCCACCAGCCUACAAUCCAAAUGUGAUGGAUUUCAAUAGUGAAACUCGGAUUUAUAUCACCUUCUCUGCUCAAAGUAGAGAAAUAUGCACUGAAUCAAAGGUUCAUUCGUAUUUCAGCAAUUUCGGGUCUGUCGUGUCUGUGACUAUUCCGCAUGGAAGGUCAUAUGGUUUUGUGAGAUUCAUGCUCCCUGGGACAGUGAGGCUGCUUUUAUCAAACUGGAAUCCUGAGGUCCCUCACUUCAUCUCCGGAGCAAGACUUCACGUGGACCGCUAUAUCCCCUAUUAUCUGUGGAACCCUGCUGAGAAUCAUGGGCCGAAUGGCCUGGAUGGAGGGUCAGGACAUGUACCAAAUGCCCUGGGUGGAGUGCCAGGACAAGAACCAGGUGCGCCAGAUGGAAACGCAGCACAACAAGAUAUGAACCCUGCUGGGAAUCAUGGGCUGAAUGGCCCGGGUGGAGGGCUAGGACAUGUGCCAAAUGCCCCGGUUGCAGUGCCAGAUGACGUGCUAGGUGUGCUGGAUGGAGACGCAGCAGAACAAGAUAUGAACCCUGCUGGGAAUGGAGCGGCAGGACAAGUGCCAGGUGUUCCGGAUGACGUGCCAGGUGUGCCGGAUGGAGGCGCAGCACAACAAGAUAUGGACGAGAUCGCUGCCGCUCUUCCAGAUGUCGACUGUUUCUACAAGGAGGCCUGA